CGCGAAUGGCUCAUUACAACAGCUAAAAUCUACUUGAUCUUGACACAAUCCUACUUGGAUAACUGUGGUAAUUCUAGAGCUAAUACAUGCAUUAAAGCUCUGACCUUAGGGGAAGAGUGCAUUUAUUAGAACAAAACCAAGCGGCUUCGGCUGUUUUCGGUUGACUCAUAGUAACUGAGCUGAUCGCAUGGUCUUGCACCGGCGACGUGUCUUUCGAGUAUCUGCCGUAUCAACUUUCGAUGGUAGUGUAUCUGACUACCAUGGUGAUCACGCGUAACGGAGAAUAAGGGUUCGACUCCGGAGAGUUCGCCUGAGAAAUCGCGAACACAUCUAAGGAAGGCAGCAGGCGCGAAAAUUACCCACUCUCAGCACGAGGAGGUAGUGACGAAAAAUAACGAGACCGUUCUCUUAUGAGGCCGGUCAUCGGAAUGGGUACAAUUUAAACCCUUUAACGAGUAUCUAUGAGAGGGCAAGUCUGGUGCCAGCAGCCGCGGUAAUUCCAGCU
Molecule: ribosomal RNA, 505 nt
Filed under: Eucephalobus striatus
Lineage: Eukaryota; Metazoa; Nematoda; Chromadorea; Rhabditida; Cephalobidae
Description: SSU rRNA
Rfam family: Eukaryotic small subunit ribosomal RNA
Source: RNAcentral